UUAAGUUAUUAAGGGCGCACGGUGGAUGCCUUGGCACUAGAAGCCGAUGAAGGACGUUACUAACGACGAUAUGCUUUGGGGAGCUGUAAGUAAGCUUUGAUCCAGAGAUUUCCGAAUGGGGAAACCCAGCAUGAGUUAUGUCAUGUUAUCGAUAUGUGAAUACAUAGCAUAUCAGAAGGCACACCCGGAGAACUGAAACAUCUUAGUACCCGGAGGAAGAGAAAGAAAAUUCGAUUCCCUUAGUAGCGGCGAGCGAAACGGGAAGAGCCCAAACCAACAAGCUUGCUUGUUGGGGUUGUAGGACACUCUAUACGGAGUUACAAAGGACGACAUUAGACGAAUCAUCUGGAAAGAUGAAUCAAAGAAGGUAAUAAUCCUGUAGUCGAAAAUGUUGUCUCUCUUGAGUGGAUCCUGAGUACGACGGAGCACGUGAAAUUCCGUCGGAAUCUGGGAGGACCAUCUCCUAAGGCUAAAUACUCUCUAGUGACCGAUAGUGAACCAGUACCGUGAGGGAAAGGUGAAAAGCACCCCGGAAGGGGAGUGAAAUAGAACCUGAAACCGUGUGCUUACAAGUAGUCAGAGCCCGUUAAUGGGUGAUGGCGUGCCUUUUGUAGAAUGAACCGGCGAGUUACGAUUUGAUGCAAGGUUAAGCAGUAAAUGUGGAGCCGUAGCGAAAGCGAGUCUGAAUAGGGCGUUUAGUAUUUGGUCGUAGACCCGAAACCAGGUGAUCUACCCUUGGUCAGGUUGAAGUUCAGGUAACACUGAAUGGAGGACCGAACCGACUUACGUUGAAAAGUGAGCGGAUGAACUGAGGGUAGCGGAGAAAUUCCAAUCGAACCUGGAGAUAGCUGGUUCUCUCCGAAAUAGCUUUAGGGCUAGCCUCAAGUGAUGAUUAUUGGAGGUAGAGCACUGUUUGGACGAGGGGCCCCUCUCGGGUUACCGAAUUCAGACAAACUCCGAAUGCCAAUUAAUUUAACUUGGGAGUCAGAACAUGGGUGAUAAGGUCCGUGUUCGAAAGGGAAACAGCCCAGACCACCAGCUAAGGUCCCAAAAUAUAUGUUAAGUGGAAAAGGAUGUGGCGUUGCCCAGACAACUAGGAUGUUGGCUUAGAAGCAGCCAUCAUUUAAAGAGUGCGUAAUAGCUCACUAGUCGAGUGACACUGCGCCGAAAAUGUACCGGGGCUAAACAUAUUACCGAAGCUGUGGAUUGUCCUUUGGACAAUGGUAGGAGAGCGUUCUAAGGGCGUUGAAGCAUGAUCGUAAGGACAUGUGGAGCGCUUAGAAGUGAGAAUGCCGGUGUGAGUAGCGAAAGACGGGUGAGAAUCCCGUCCACCGAUUGACUAAGGUUUCCAGAGGAAGGCUCGUCCGCUCUGGGUUAGUCGGGUCCUAAGCUGAGGCCGACAGGCGUAGGCGAUGGAUAACAGGUUGAUAUUCCUGUACCACCUAUAAUCGUUUUAAUCGAUGGGGGGACGCAGUAGGAUAGGCGAAGCGUGCGAUUGGAUUGCACGUCUAAGCAGUAAGGCUGAGUAUUAGGCAAAUCCGGUACUCGUUAAGGCUGAGCUGUGAUGGGGAGAAGACAUUGUGUCUUCGAGUCGUUGAUUUCACACUGCCGAGAAAAGCCUCUAGAUAGAAAAUAGGUGCCCGUACCGCAAACCGACACAGGUAGUCAAGAUGAGAAUUCUAAGGUGAGCGAGCGAACUCUCGUUAAGGAACUCGGCAAAAUGACCCCGUAACUUCGGGAGAAGGGGUGCUCUUUAGGGUUAACGCCCAGAAGAGCCGCAGUGAAUAGGCCCAAGCGACUGUUUAUCAAAAACACAGGUCUCUGCUAAACCGUAAGGUGAUGUAUAGGGGCUGACGCCUGCCCGGUGCUGGAAGGUUAAGAGGAGUGGUUAGCUUCUGCGAAGCUACGAAUCGAAGCCCCAGUAAACGGCGGCCGUAACUAUAACGGUCCUAAGGUAGCGAAAUUCCUUGUCGGGUAAGUUCCGACCCGCACGAAAGGCGUAACGAUUUGGGCACUGUCUCAACGAGAGACUCGGUGAAAUCAUAGUACCUGUGAAGAUGCAGGUUACCCGCGACAGGACGGAAAGACCCCGUGGAGCUUUACUGUAGCCUGAUAUUGAAAUUCGGCACAGCUUGUACAGGAUAGGUAGGAGCCUUUGAAACGUGAGCGCUAGCUUACGUGGAGGCGCUGGUGGGAUACUACCCUAGCUGUGUUGGCUUUCUAACCCGCACCACUUAUCGUGGUGGGAGACAGUGUCAGGCGGGCAGUUUGACUGGGGCGGUCGCCUCCUAAAAGGUAACGGAGGCGCUCAAAGGUUCCCUCAGAAUGGUUGGAAAUCAUUCAUAGAGUGUAAAGGCAUAAGGGAGCUUGACUGCGAGACCUACAAGUCGAGCAGGGUCGA
Molecule: ribosomal RNA, 2401 nt
Filed under: Staphylococcus aureus H64303
Lineage: Bacteria; Bacillati; Bacillota; Bacilli; Caryophanales; Staphylococcaceae
Description: bacterial LSU rRNA
Rfam family: Bacterial large subunit ribosomal RNA
Source: RNAcentral